UGCCGCCUCUCCUAAUCAUGCAAGGCGAACGGAUGAGAAGCUUGCUUCUCUGAUGUUAGACGGGUGAGUAACGCGUGUAACCUACCUAUAGACUGGGAUAACUUCGGAAAACCGGACCUAAUACCGAAUAAAUUUUGAACCGCAUGGUUCAAACUUGAAGCAGUCUUGCUGUCAGUUAUAAUCCGCGCUGCAAGCGAGUUGGUAGGGUUACCAUGGCAACGAUGCCUAACCGAACUGAGAAUCGGCCACGCUGGAACUGAGACACUGCUAAUCCUACGGGAGGCAACAGUAGGGAAUCUUCCGCAAUGGGCAAAAGCCUGACGGAGCAACGCCACGUGAGUGAUGAGGUUCUUCGGUGUCAACUCUGUUUUAGGGAAGAACAUAUUGUAAAACUGUGACCAUCUUGACGGUACCUAAUCCGAAUGCCACGGCUAACUACGUGCCAGUACCCGCGAUAAGCGUAAGUGGCCAUUUUCUGGAAUUAUUGGGCGACAGCGCGCCUAGGCGGUUUUUUAUGUCAGAUGUGAACUCCAAACGGCUCACUCUUGUAGGAACAUUGAUUACUGGACUCGUACAGUGCAGAAAAGAACAAUGGUAUUCCUUGUUUGAGCGGUGAAAAG
This 620-nucleotide ribosomal RNA is filed under the name Staphylococcus aureus. RNAcentral's name for it is "bacterial SSU rRNA". It matches the Rfam family "Bacterial small subunit ribosomal RNA", at positions 34 to 688 of the family's 1533-position model. Lineage: Bacteria; Bacillati; Bacillota; Bacilli; Caryophanales; Staphylococcaceae. The record is from RNAcentral.